Molecule: ribosomal RNA, 429 nt
Filed under: Pseudomonadota bacterium
Lineage: Bacteria; Pseudomonadati; Pseudomonadota
Description: Proteobacteria bacterium partial 16S ribosomal RNA
Rfam family: Bacterial small subunit ribosomal RNA
Source: RNAcentral
UGGGGAAUAUUGGACAAUGGGGGGAACCCUGAUCCAGCCAUGCCGCGUGUGUGAAGAAGGCCUUAUGGUUGUAAAGCACUUUAAGUUGGGAGGAAGGGCAGUAAGCGAAUACCUUGCUGUUUUGACGUUACCGACAGAAUAAGCACCGGCUAACUCUGUGCCAGCAGCCGCGGUAAUACAGAGGGUGCAAGCGUUAAUCGGAAUUACUGGGCGUAAAGCGCGCGUAGGUGGUUCGUUAAGUUGAAUGUGAAAGCCCCGGGCUCAACCUGGGAACUGCAUCCAAAACUGGCGAGCUAGAGUAGGGCAGAGGGUGGUGGAAUUUCCUGUGUAGCGGUGAAAUGCGUAGAUAUAGGAAGGAACACCAGUGGCGAAGGCGACCACCUGGGCUCAUACUGACACUGAGGUGCGAAAGCGGGGGGAGCAAACAGG